RNAcentral lists this ribosomal RNA (460 nucleotides) under uncultured bacterium. RNAcentral describes it as "partial 16S ribosomal RNA". It matches the Rfam family "Bacterial small subunit ribosomal RNA", at positions 338 to 795 of the family's 1533-position model. The record is from RNAcentral.
CCUACGGGUGGCAGCAGUGAGGAAUAUUGGUCAAUGGACGAGAGUCUGAACCAGCCAAGUAGCGUGAAGGAUGACUGCCCUAUGGGUUGUAAACUUCUUUUAUAUGGGAAUAAAAUGUUCCACGUGUGGGAUUUUGUAUGUACCAUAUGAAUAAGGAUCGGCUAACUCCGUGCCAGCAGCCGCGGUAAUACGGAGGAUCCGAGCGUUAUCCGGAUUUAUUGGGUUUAAAGGGAGCGUAGGUGGAUUGUUAAGUCAGUUGUGAAAGUUUGCGGCUCAACCGUAAAAUUGCAGUUGAAACUGGCAGUCUUGAGUACAGUAGAGGUGGGCGGAAUUCGUGGUGUAGUGGUGAAAUGCUUAGAUAUCACGAAGAACUCCGAUUGCGAAGGCAGUUCACUGGACUGCAACUGACACUGAGGCUCGAAAGUGUGGGUAUCAAACAGGAUUAGAUACCCGUGUAGUC